AUUGAACGCUGGCGGCAGGCCUGACACAUGCAAGUCGAGCGGAUGAAGGGAGCUUGCUCCUGGAUUCAGCGGCGGACGGGUGAGUAAUGCCUAGGAAUCUGCCUGGUAGUGGGGGAUAACGUCCGGAAACGGGCGCUAAUACCGCAUACGUCCUGAGGGAGAAAGUGGGGGAUCUUCGGACCUCACGCUAUCAGAUGAGCCUAGGUCGGAUUAGCUAGUUGGUGGGGUAAAGGCCUACCAAGGCGACGAUCCGUAACUGGUCUGAGAGGAUGAUCAGUCACACUGGAACUGAGACACGGUCCAGACUCCUACGGGAGGCAGCAGUGGGGAAUAUUGGACAAUGGGCGAAAGCCUGGUCCAGCCAUGCCGCGUGUGUGAAGAAGGUCUUCGGAUUGUAAAGCACUUUAAGUUGGGAGGAAGGGCAGUAAGUUAAUACCUUGCUGUUUUGACGUUACCAACAGAAUAAGCACCGGCUAACUUCGUG
This 484-nucleotide ribosomal RNA is filed under the name uncultured bacterium. RNAcentral's name for it is "partial 16S ribosomal RNA". It matches the Rfam family "Bacterial small subunit ribosomal RNA", at positions 30 to 507 of the family's 1533-position model. The record is from RNAcentral.